This 253-nucleotide ribosomal RNA is filed under the name uncultured bacterium. RNAcentral's name for it is "partial 16S ribosomal RNA". It matches the Rfam family "Bacterial small subunit ribosomal RNA", at positions 524 to 776 of the family's 1533-position model. The record is from RNAcentral.
UACGUAGGGGCCAAGCGUUGUCCGGAAUUAUUGGGCGUAAAGCGCGCGCAGGCGGUCUCUUAAGUCUGAUGUGAAAGCCCACGGCUCAACCGUGGAGGGUCAUUGGAAACUGGGGGACUUGAGUGUAGGAGAGGAAAGUGGAAUUCCACGUGUAGCGGUGAAAUGCGUAGAUAUGUGGAGGAACACCAGUGGCGAAGGCGACUUUCUGGCCUACAACUGACGCUGAGGCGCGAAAGCGUGGGGAGCAAACAGG